AGCGGUACCACUGGAUUACAGCCUCUGAGGAUCGCUGCAAAUUAUGAGUCUGCAUCUCUGACCACUGAGGGGGCUGGGAAUGUGGCUGUUUCUGCCUCGUCCUUCAGUGCGGACAAUGAAAUGGCCUGUCUGAUUAGUCAUUAAUGCAGCAGAUAUUGUUACUAUGCAGCAGAACCAUCCAGAUAUUGGCACAGUACGGCGAUGGGUGGCGCGUUCACGAAGGUCUCCUAGAAGACAGCUGGCAGAUGACCCUGCUGCUCAGAUGGUGGUCCCUCAUGUUCUUAAACAUGACAUAGUUUUCAGCUUCACUGGGCCCCAACUGCUGAUAAUUUUUCUCCGGAAUGGGUGUGGAAACAGGGAAAGCGCUUUUGCUACUGGCCAUCUAGGUUUAAGGACAUAAAGACAAUGUACUGCAUGCUAAACUUAUCGUAAGCCUGUCACUGUUCAUCAAGCACCCAUGGGUGGGUCCCCAAAAAUGCAACCCUUUGAGAGAGUCCAGAUGAUCAUUUUGGAACUGCCAAUAACAAACGGCAGUUUGUCUGCUCAUUAAUAAUUUUUUAUUUUUUUAAAUAAUUUUUGAGCAGACUUUUUGAAUCAGAUGUGGUCUUGACCCACUGUCGUUUGCUGAAUAUAAAGAAAAUCACAGCAUCAGACGGAAUGGUGGAGCGUUUUACCAGAACGUUGACUGAUCAAAUAGCUAAGAUACUGUUGCCAUGUGGUGGUCAGUAGGACGAUUACAUCAAAAAGGUGGUGUUUGCAUACAAUUCUUCACCUCCCCCUAGCACCAAGUUUUCACCAUUCUUUUUGGUUAAUGGACAAGAACUAAGGAUGCCCACUGACUUGUUGCAUGCCACAUGUGCACUUAACCAGAACAACAUUUAACAUCUCAUGCUGCAUUCGUUUCCACUUUACUUGACAAAAAACAAUGUACAGUGAAGUAGCUUUAAUCGCCAGAAAUUAUAUCAUGAUUCAGGACUCAGACAUCAGCCUUAUGCAGUCGGUGCCAGGGUGUGGCUCCAUAAUCCUGUGGAAAGCAGCACGAAGCUGGUACCUCACUUGAAAGGACCUUUGAAGGUUGUACAAGUCUUAGAGUCUGGUGGAGAGUCAGGACUGACAUACAGGAUCAUGAGCACACUGGACUUAAACAGGUUGUGCAUUACAAUAGACUGAGACCUUCCCAGCAAACAUGUCCAUGUGGGCCCCACAUGGGUUUUAUCUGGGUUAUAUGGGCAUCAUAUGGGCAUGGGGUCAGAGUGGGCACUUUAAUGGGCUGAAUGUGGGCCCCAGCUUAGUCACGGUUGUGGGCCCCAGUUAGGUUGCCCAUUUUGUUUAUCUAAAUGUUACAUAUUAACAAUAACAUAGUAUGACCUUUAGUUAAAAAAAAUAAAAUAAAAAUAAUUCGGUUGUGCAGCUCACAGCGCCUCCCAUUGGCUCCUGUGCUCCCGCCUUCUGAUUCUGAAGAAACGGUCGUCACUCACUACCACUGGAGCACGAUAACCUGACAUCUCUGUCACGGUGUGCAGCUGAGGAAUCUGCAUAGACCCACCAGUAAACUAUUUUACUCAGUAAUUCUGUUAUUCCUGUUUCUUGUUUACUUUAAUUAAUUUGAAUUAAAUGUGAUUUACACAUUC
Silurus meridionalis is the source of this 1631-nucleotide long non-coding RNA. RefSeq lists it as uncharacterized. The record is from RefSeq and is a predicted model, not a curated record. Lineage: Eukaryota; Metazoa; Chordata; Actinopteri; Siluriformes; Siluridae. The transcript has 4 exons.